This is a long non-coding RNA of Molossus molossus (Pallas's mastiff bat), 360 nucleotides long. RefSeq lists it as uncharacterized. The record is from RefSeq and is a predicted model, not a curated record. NCBI's taxonomy places the organism in Eukaryota, Metazoa, Chordata, Mammalia, Chiroptera, Molossidae. The transcript is spliced from 3 exons.
AGGAGGCCAUUCUGUUUCCCAAGUCCCAGCUUACCCUCACUGUGGCCUAGAAAGUUAGGCCAGGCAGGAAAUGAACAGUACAGGCUCUGCAGUGACAGUAGGGAGAAUCUGGCACGCGUGCACACGUGUGUGUGUGCGCGCGCGCACACACGUGAGUGCAGCAGCUGCGGAAAUGAGGAGAGGAACUCUCUGAAGAUGUGCCAGAUGGAGAACUCUCUCCCUCACCUACCUUGUCCCUGUGCCAGGCCUCUUUAGUCCUGAGCAUCCAAAGGCCUCUUCCAUGGCUAAAUGAAUCAGAACCAGCAAAUAAGAUUACUAUGCCCUCACUUUGAUUGCCUGGUUUGGUGAGUGAGGAGGAAG